CGGCAACCAUAACAACUACGCUCUUUACGAACAGGACGUAUUAACCUCAACCAGGAGUAUGAUAAAAAUUUUCAUGGAAACUUUUCAAGUGCGCUUAACCACGACAUACAAUAAUUACGUUUUCAUCGUGCAGGACUUAGGUAGGAUUACCCACUCAAGUGCAAAGUUUGAGAAGAAUAUUCGCGUCUACACGAAUAUUCUCCUCAAACUUUGCACGUGAUUUAUUAAAAUCCCACUUAAAUCCUGUACGAUAAAAACAUAGUUAAAUGUCAGAUUGAAUGAAUCAGCAAAUAAGAAAAUUUAUGGUGAUAACGAUAGACACGGUCAAUCAAUGCUAGUCGUCAUCAGUCUAGAAUACACUUGUAACACUUAUUCCCAAUAAAGUAUCGUACUUCGAACCUGCGGUCAUCAUUGCUGCCGAAUUCCGUUAAGCGGAUGAAGGGGAGUUCUCAUAUGGAAGUAGUUUAUGGCUUCGUCGCUAACGACCUCCGACGAAACGUGUGUCUGCGAAAUACCAAGACGUCGACCACAAUUCAAUCUUACGUGAGUCUACACAAAACCAGCCUUGGAAUUUAUCCCUGAACAUGGAUACAAAUGGAUAUCGUCUUUAUGACCAGAGAUAACUGUCAAAAGCAUCUUCCGACGACUGCCAAGUUCGCUUGGACUGCCAAGCGGUGCUCAAAGUAUUUCAGUCUUACGUGCAAUAUGCCAAUCCGACUACAGAUAAGAUACCAGGGUAUGCUUCCGUUAAUUAAAAUUAUUUUUUAUAACAAGAAAGAAUAGGCUUAUUGAAAGUAGAAAAAAGUGCGAUAACCCAACUUCAAAGAUCUGAACAUUUCUUGUAUUUUUUUAUAUUCCUACGUGGAUCAAUUAUAUUACAUUCGGAGUAGAUGUACAAAGACAUCGUGUAAGGAAUAUUUAUAAAACUGUUAUGUCGUAAUAUCCAUUUCGUAAUGAUCACGUUAUGUGAUACACGAUGUAGGAUUUCGAAUCAAUUCAUAACAUAUCCUUCGAAUGUCUUUCUGAACACCCGAUACCCGUUCCACGUUCCUGAAGACGUCCGUUGAUAUGACUUAUCAAGGAUCUUAUUAAUAACAUUAAUUAGUAUUACAAGCAUAAAUCCUUCCUGACGUAACGAACUAUAAAAUAAAGGAUUCUUGAAUUUAUUUCACACAUA
Long non-coding RNA from Cephus cinctus (wheat stem sawfly), 1177 nucleotides. RefSeq lists it as uncharacterized. Lineage: Eukaryota; Metazoa; Arthropoda; Insecta; Hymenoptera; Cephidae. The record is from RefSeq and is a predicted model, not a curated record. The transcript is spliced from 3 exons.